AGGUGCUCCCCAGGCUAGCACUGCCCCGCCCCUGCGUGAUCCGGGAUGGGAGUUUGGAAACUGCUCCCCAUAGGCGGCCGGAGAGGAACGUGAAUCUUUGUCUGUUUCACUCCUCAGCAGCUCACUCUUGGCCCCAGGAGGAAAACGAGAAGGUUAACCAGGCAUAACCCGGAGGUGUAAGUCAGAGAGACAGGGUCUCACUGCAUGCCUGUAGUGCCAGCUACUCAGGAGACUGAGGUGGGAGGAUCUCUUGAGCCCAGGAGGUCGAGGUGGCAGUGGCCCAUGAUUGCAUCACUGUACUCAGUCUGU
This 309-nucleotide long non-coding RNA is filed under the name Homo sapiens (human). The record is from RNAcentral. Lineage: Eukaryota; Metazoa; Chordata; Mammalia; Primates; Hominidae.